UAAGGAAUAUUGGUCAAUGGAGGGAACUCUGAACCAGCCAUGCCGCGUGCAGGAAGACGGCCCUCUGGGUUGUAAACUGCUUUUAUUCGGGGAUAAACCUAUUUACGUGUAAAUAGCUGAAUGUACCGAAGGAAUAAGGAUCGGCUAACUCCGUGCCAGCAGCCGCGGUAAUACGGAGGAUCCAAGCGUUAUCCGGAUUUAUUGGGUUUAAAGGGUGCGUAGGCGGCUUAUUAAGUCAGGGGUGAAAGACGGUGGCUCAACCAGCGCAGUGCCCUUGAUACUGAUGAGCUUGAAUAGGCUAGAGGUAGGCGGAAUGUGACAAGUAGCGGUGAAAUGCAUAGAUAUGUCACGGAACACCAAUUGCGAAGGCAGCUUACUAUGGUUUAAUUGACGCUGAGGCACGAAAGCGUGGGGAUCAAACA
RNAcentral lists this ribosomal RNA (422 nucleotides) under uncultured bacterium. RNAcentral's name for it is "bacterial SSU rRNA". It matches the Rfam family "Bacterial small subunit ribosomal RNA", at positions 355 to 774 of the family's 1533-position model. The record is from RNAcentral.